GAAAGACCAUUCUCCUGUAACGUCGUUCGUGAGUAAAGAAGUUCCUUGGUAUCUGGAAGAUGCAACUGGUUGUGUGGAUGUGGUUGGAGCUCAGCAGGCCAUAGAUUUUAUGUUACCUUUUCAAAAGGAAAUAUUUAAACAAUCAAAACCAUGGAUGAUACAUAGAAUAUUCAAUUAUUUCCGAGGUCUCAAGGAGCUUGGUUUUAAGAGAAUUGAACGAACACUUCCAAUCAACACUUCCUUGACAGUUAUUGG
This is a long non-coding RNA of Trifolium pratense (red clover), 255 nucleotides long. RefSeq lists it as uncharacterized. The record is from RefSeq and is a predicted model, not a curated record. The transcript has 3 exons. Lineage: Eukaryota; Viridiplantae; Streptophyta; Magnoliopsida; Fabales; Fabaceae.